UUAAAUUCGUUAACGAGAAAGAGUAUACUAAUCACUUGUUCCCCAGAGAGUUGGCGCUUUGCUGAAAGCCAAUGUUCAUGUGUUAGUAGAAAAUCCUCUCCGAGAAGUAAAGCUGAAGUCACAGUAAGCUUUAACGGGAUCCCGCCGUUACAAGGGCCGCGCAUGUUGGUGCGUAGUUUGAGGUGCUGUGAAGGCUAGCAAGUUAGCUUAACACAGAAUUAGGGUGGUAUCGCGAGUUCAAUCUCGUCCCUUAC
RNAcentral lists this non-coding RNA (254 nucleotides) under Paenibacillus sp. RNAcentral describes it as "T-box sequence". It matches the Rfam family "T-box leader". From Rfam's summary of the family: Uncharged tRNA acts as the effector for transcription antitermination of genes in the T-box leader family. T-boxes are found upstream of many aminoacyl-tRNA synthetase genes and some amino acid biosynthetic genes usually in Gram-positive bacteria. Lineage: Bacteria; Bacillati; Bacillota; Bacilli; Caryophanales; Paenibacillaceae. The record is from RNAcentral.